GGGGGUCAGGACUGCAGCUGGGUUGGUAGAGUCCUUGUCUGCCAUGCUUGAGUCUGUCUUUAGUGGUGUGCAAAGACAAAACCAAACCGAAAGCAACACCCAAUCAAAAGCCAUUCUAUUGGCACCUCUGAUUUCCAGGUUAAGAGAAGGAGGCCCACAUUUAACCCCGUGGGCCCUGCAGAUAACACUGAGAAGAUUUGACAAGUAACUGAAUUCUGAUCGUGGGAAGAGGAGGUAAAGCCUGCCCUUUACUUAAGGAACCAUAAGGGUAGAUGAAUGAGAAAGUGAUCCAGGACUGAGAUUUUAAUCUUUCUUGUGAUGCAUAUUCAUGUAUUUAUAUAUCCCCCCUCUCUUGCUUUUUCUCUUUUCUGACUAGAAAAUGAAAACGUGUGUAUAUAGUUUUUAGUGUUUACUCUUUUUUUUAAAAAAAGGAUUUAUUUAUUUUAUCCUCUAUGUAUGAGUACUUUGCCUGCAUGCAUGAUGCGCACCACAGAAAGAGGCAUGAAAUCCUCUGAAGCUGGAGUUAUGGUUGUUCAUCAUGUGAGUGCUGAGAACGGAGCCAGGGUCCUCUGCGAGAGCAGUAUGUGCGCUUAACUACUGAGUCGUCUCUCCAGCUCCGAGAGUUUACUUUUUUGGACAACUAUAGCCCUGUGGUUUGUUCAGUAGUGGGAGGGCACAGAGGAAAGUUAAAUCCUCCGGAACUGGCUACUCUGUUUCCUUUCCUUGACAUCCUCUUUCUUUAUGCUAACAGAGAAAGUCAGCUGCACUUGGGUCAGGAAUAGGACCUGAACAUGUAGGUUUUGUCUUGCCUUUAUAGAGGUACCCUUCCUAUAACUCUUGAGACAGGCCUAUUCACCCCUUCAAACCUGCACAAGCAGAAGGAAAAAUAACACCCAUUUAUUUUUAGAAUCUUUUUUUUUUCAGAAGUCAAUCUAAAAAUAAACUUGGCCUCAAUUUCCCGCUGUAGGUGCUAAACUACUUGCCCUAAACUAGAGAUAAGAUUUAUUUACUUAUUUAUAUUACGAUGUUGGGGACAGAACAUGGGAUUUUUUUUUUUUUUUUGGUAUGCUACAUGAGUGGUCUACCAUUGAGCUACAUCCUCAGCUCAUUCUUAUAAAUUAGUAUCAUAUGUAAUAAGUAUACUCGAUACCUAAGUAGCUAAAGGAACAGUAAAGUAAAUAUAUUGUGUCAUGUGUUAUUUCUGGAGAUGAAGUUAAAAGUCUGGACUUAUUUUAAAUUAUGUUCAUAUUUUUGCUUUCUGUUUAUCCAUAGCAGCUAGACAAGCUUUUGCAUAUUCUCACCCCAGCAGGCAGCACAUCUGAACAGGGUUUAUUGUAUAAUUUCCCAGGAAUAGAAAGAGUGGCACAGUUUGAAUGGCAUGUGGAUUGUGAAAAGGCAUUAAUAUAUUCUUUUUGAUCUCAGUAAGUUUCAAAUUGAGGCAACACACACACACACGGGGGGGGGCAGGUUGGGGAGAGAGAGAGAAACAAUCUGCAAGGUAGGCCAAGCAAAAAUGUAGGGCUCAUGU
RNAcentral lists this long non-coding RNA (1528 nucleotides) under Mus musculus (house mouse). RNAcentral describes it as "long non-coding RNA chr2:76411792-76413320". Lineage: Eukaryota; Metazoa; Chordata; Mammalia; Rodentia; Muridae. The record is from RNAcentral.